Macaca mulatta (Rhesus monkey) is the source of this 1330-nucleotide non-coding RNA. The record is from RefSeq and is a predicted model, not a curated record. Lineage: Eukaryota; Metazoa; Chordata; Mammalia; Primates; Cercopithecidae.
CCUGCAGGGCUGAGCUGGGAUCUGUCACUUGUAAUAUAGGAGUCCGGAUGGGUGAAACAGCUUCUCCUUUCCCUCCACCCUCCCCCAAGUCCAGAACCUCCCGGGUAACCCCUGAUGAUUACACAGCCCCCACCUAGUCUCCAGUGCCCCGUAGUCGCCACCUGCACCAGGUUACUUAGACCCUGGGUUACCACUCACCAGCUGUUUCUCCCUGGCCUUCCCUUGGUACACAUUCCCCAGCUCCCCGGCUGGCAAGGAUGACUAGGUGACAUUUUUGACCUCACGAAUGUCCUUUGGAAAGUCACAUCUGUCAGAAUCCAGGGCAAAACGAAGGCCAUGCCUGGUGAGUAAGGAGGGGAUGGGACGAAGGGAGAGUUGACAGCAGUGCUGGUGGGUUGCAGAGGCCAGCAAGGCGGAGGACACUGUAACUGUGGGAUCUGCAACCGCCCCACUGGAGGGCCAGUGGGCAACCCAUAGACACCCCUGCCACAAUCUCCAGGCUCCUGCUGCGACCUCAUCGGCCAAGCCACCUGGAAGCCAUGGGGCAAGAGAACCUGAGUGAGGAAGUCCAGCGCGCCCAGCCCCCCACCCCACGGGCAGAGGACAGCACAGAAGCAGCACUUCGGACUCGGUAACACAGUUGCACGUAUACUAUGUGAUUGGAAGCAGAAGAAAUCAAUGCCAUUGCUCCCAUUCCUUAAAGAGCACAAUAAAGAAACAGAAGUUACUUACAGCCAAGGACUAACGCCAGUUGGGGCAGCACCCCCAGGAAUCAGCAAAAACCAAGUGAUUAAUUACCAACAUGGUACCCAACCUCCCUUAUCCUCAGAAGAUGUUCAGUGAGCAAUGUAAACAAACCGACAAUGUUCCCUAUGCUCUAACAACACAGCACUCCUCACACGUUAGAUAUGGAAAAACUGAGGCACCGUAUCAGCGAGCACUGGGGUGUAAGGAAAAAGGAAAAGGCCGCUCCAUACAGAACCAGUGGGAAUGUUGAUGCUUGGAGUCUUUCUGAGAAGCAGUCUCUCAGAGGUGUAAUUAAAAAGCAUAGACACAGAUUCUGACCCAGAGAUUCCCAGAAAUAGAUUCCAUAGAAUAAAAAGCACAAGAACAUGUGCAUGAAGAUCUUUAGCAUAGCGCUGACGAGGCAAAGGAAAACGGGGAAAUCUUGCCGGUCUGCAUAGGGACAUCUUCUCAUGGUGGUCAAAUAAAAUUGUGGUGUAUCCGUGCCACAGAUUACAAUGAAGCAAUGCAAAAUCACAAGUUAGAAUUCUAUGUGUUGACAUGAAAAACGUUCAUGACGCACUUUUGAGUAAAACAAGUUAUUGAA